This 472-nucleotide ribosomal RNA is filed under the name uncultured bacterium. Its description in RNAcentral is "partial 16S ribosomal RNA". It matches the Rfam family "Bacterial small subunit ribosomal RNA", at positions 28 to 507 of the family's 1533-position model. The record is from RNAcentral.
GACGAACGCUGGCGGCGUGCUUAACACAUGCAAGUCGAACGCUGAAGCUUGGUGCUUGCGCUGGGUGGAUGAGUGGCGCACGGGUGAGCAAUACGUGAGUAACCUGCCCUUGACUCUGGGAUAAUCCUGGGAAACUGGGUCUAAUACUGGAUACGACAUGUCACCGCAUGGUGGUGUGUGGAAAGGGUUUUACUGGUUUUGGAUGGGCUCACGGCCUAUCAGCUUGUUGGUGGGGUAAUGGCUCACCAAGGCGACGACGGGUAGCCGGCCUGAGAGGGUGACCGGCCACACUGGGACUGAGACACGGCCCAGACUCCUACGGGAGGCAGCAGUGGGGAAUAUUGCACAAUGGGCGGAAGCCUGAUGCAGCGACGCCGCGUGAGGGAUGACGGCCUUCGGGUUGUAAACCGCUUUCAGCACGGAAGAAGCGAAAGUGACGGUACGUGCAGAAGAAGCGCCGGCUAACUACGUG